AUCUGGCUAAACAACACUGGUCUCUAAAAUGCAGAUUUUAUUAUCAGUGUUGGUUUACAGUCACACUCAUUAAUUACCAGAAGGAAACAGUUUAUGAAAGUGAUAGUUUGAAGAAACUAAUAAAAGUGAACAUGUUUUGUUAGUAUUCUCAUAUUCUACUCUGACUGCUGAUCAAAGUGAAAAUUAUAUUGCUUAGUUUGGAGGAAUAUGACAGCACAACCUUUAUGUAAGGUAAGUUAUAUUUUCCUUUGCAAUUUUUUUAGGGAUUGAAUGAAGAAUAUCUUCAAAUGUAGAUUUUUCUACAUUUUUCUUAUAUUCACAUAAGAUCUGGGUGCACAGAUGCAGACACCAGUAAAUUACUCACAGAGCAAGGAUGCUUUCCUCAGUUAAGGAACCUGUUUGGGAAUCAGUUUUUGGCUGCACCACGAAAAGGGGAACUCCUUUGAAAGACAGGCAACAUUCAGUGAAACUCCUAGAAUAAAUACUCUUUGGAAGUUAAAAAAACACUGAGUACUGAAAGGUCAAGUAUGGAGUAAAUUAAUUCUGUAAUUGAUAACAAGCGACUUCCAGCUCUGGCAAAUUAUGUACUUAAAACAAAUUAUUAAUAUUUGUUUGUUUUCUGAACUAAGUGUCUAUGAUUUUAUCCUCAGAUGAAAAGAACCAAGGAAUUUAAGAUUUUGCCCUGAAGUUAAAGGAUGUGGGUGUUUUGACCCAGAAGCUUCUGGCUUGUUGAAGCCAUGGGAAAAAUUCGGGCAAGAUUGAAAAGUUAUACCCUAGAGACAACAUUCAAGCCUGGGCCAUUUGUUUUGUGUGCAUAUAUAUGCACCAUCAGAAGAUGCCAGUUUUCCCCCAAAAGGGAAGCCUCUGGUAUGGAAUUGUGUUGCAGUGCAUUGUAUUUCAUCUGUUAAUCUCAAACUGCCUCGAGAAUGGCUUCAGUGUGUCAGGAGAGGCAUUCCUGGAGCUUCAGAUCUGAGUCAUCAACUGGGUUACAGAAGACAAAGCAGGCACAGGCCCACCUUCCCCAAGUUCUAGUGAUAGCUUUGAGCUAACAUUUCUUUGUGUGACUUAUCUGCAUGGACCUCAUCAAAGCCUUCAGGCACCAUCUACCAAGGGGUACAACCAGCCUUCUGAUCCAGGUGCCCGAGGAUGGGUACCCCCCAGGAGACACGGGAAACCCUGGGGGCCUUGAGGGAACGUGGAGCUCAGCACCAGUGUUGACAAGUGUGCAAGCACCUCAUGGAAGAAUGUACGUGUACACACACACACACACAGUGUCACUAUUUUGGUUUCCUCUGGUGCACUGCUGAAGGCUGGAGGAUGCACGCCUGGGUGAUUUUAAAGAAAACUAAGUAUUUCAUCAUCCCAUGGCGAUUCUAAAGAAAAGCGUGUACUUAUAUUUGGCUACACCGGGCAGUCAAGCCACAGCCACACGUGUUCAAAAGCGUCUGAAAAUUCACUUUUUUAAUCUCGUUUCGAGGGGCCAGCUUUCUUCGCCUGCUUCGGAGGGCACAAACAACGGGCGGGAAAACGAACAG
Molecule: long non-coding RNA, 1535 nt
Organism: Parus major (Great Tit)
Lineage: Eukaryota; Metazoa; Chordata; Aves; Passeriformes; Paridae
Exons: 5
Source: RefSeq, a predicted model, not a curated record